This 2227-nucleotide long non-coding RNA is filed under the name Nicotiana benthamiana. Its description in RNAcentral is "long non-coding RNA (NBEN_LNC017055)". Lineage: Eukaryota; Viridiplantae; Streptophyta; Magnoliopsida; Solanales; Solanaceae. The record is from RNAcentral.
CCCCCCCCCCACGUCGUCCGUCACCGGACCACCUAUUGCCACGCCUCACGAACCACCCAGACCCCCAUGAACCAUCAAACAGACUCAUCUCCUCCGAUCAUCGCCAUCUUUCACGUCAACACCACAGGCUCCGUCGCCGGACCACCCCACUGCCCGUCCAUGAACGACCAGCGUCGCCCAUGGCCAACUCACCCUAACGACUAGCAGCCAGUCCACCACCAGUCGAACCUCCAAAGCCACUGCUGCUUCGUCUUCCUCACGUCCAGCCCAAGUAGUUCGUCAUCAACAACCAUAGCAGCCCGCUCCAAGCAAACACUAACCUACUAUUCCGUCGUCACUCCCCUCACCGUCAACGAGCAUCACCUCCAGUUCCACCACUGUCCGCCAUAACCAUCUCCUUUCUUCACGUCCAACGACGAACACCCAAACCUCCGUGCUACUGUUCAUCGUGUUCCUUCUUUUUGUGACUGAACAAGAACAAAACCUAAAGCCCAUCAUCUGCUUCUGUUCGAACAGCCCCUCGACCUCAACCAAACCACCAUCUGAACAGUCCGUCACCACACAGUCAGCUUGUUCAUCGCCUGAAAUCAACCGGGAAACACACAAAUUUUCCGGGCAGAUUCAAGUAUUUUUUGGUUUCAAAUAUUCCGGGCAGACUUGUUUUUGUUCGAGUUCGUCGUUGUUCCGAUCCGGUUAGUUAGUUUAAGUUUAAUUUUUGCCCGUAUUUUGUUUGAUAUUCUCGGAUCUGAAAUCAGUAUGUGUUUGAUUCUUUUCUUGUUCUUUGUUUAUCAUUUCUUGAGUAUUUCUUCAGGUUGUUUUAUGCAUUUGUUCUUGUUUAGUUUUAAUAUAUAGGUAUAUUGGUUUAAUCACUUGAAUCCUUCAUCUUGAUUAUAAUAUUGUUGGAUUUAGUUUGAGGUUCAAUUGAUUAUUGAGUUUAGUAAUUUGAAUAUGCUUGUUUGUUAUUGUUGUUUAAUCUGAAAGUAUGUUUGUUAAAAAUGUUGUUCAGUCAAAAUAAUUGCAGUUUGUUCUUUGUUGAUCAUUAUGUAGUUUGAAUUUGUUGAUUGAAUUUGAUUAGGAAUUGAUUAUAAUUGUUGUAUAUUGGUUAAUUGAUUAGGUGAAUUGGUUAUAGCUGAUAGGGGUAGAAUAGUAAUAUUCAGUAAUUUCGGGGGUAUUUGGGAAUUGAUUAAAUGUGGACACAUAACUUUUAAUUAAAAUAAGAGGGUACAAUGGUUAGUGGGGGACAAGAUAUAAUAAUGUAAAGUAAAAAGGGUUAAUGAUAAAAGGUAUUCUUUGACCACUGAAAAAGGGUGGGACUAUGGGGUCCAUGCUGACUGAUUUUACUUAAUUUGAAAUCAGAAAUAGUAUAGGUAAUAAUAAAAGUUAAAAGAUACACAUAGUUAGGAGAAUAUUGGCUGGAAAGAAAAAAGAGGUAAAAUGGUUAAUAAUAAUAGUUUAAAAGUAAAAGGAAAGAGGUAAAAAGAAAUAAAAAAGAGUCUUGAUUUGGGUAUAAAUAGGACUCAUUUGACACUUAAGGGGGAACUUUGAGAGAGAAAUUUCAGAACUUAAGGGGAGAUAAAAAAAACUUUUGAAUCUUAAGAAUUAGAUAGUGUUUGAAAGUUAGAAACUAAAGAAAAAUCUGUUUCUUUUCUUGAGUGUUAAAAAUUAGAAGUGACUAUUUUUUGCAAUUGGUUAUUUCUCUGUUGGUCUGCGCUUGUUUUCUAAGACUAUUAAUAUUCAAGUAGUGUUGAUUGUAGUUUUUCUGUUGGUUUUUAAUCUGUUGCUGGUCUAUUCUAUUGUGCUUUGAACAUUGUUUCAAUUGAGUGUUGUGGUUUCCUGUCGAAAGUUCAUUGGGAUUUCCAUUACGGGUUGUUGUUGCUUCGAUGGUUGUUUGUUGUUGCUGCGUUGUUUCUACUGUUUCUAAUCCUAUUCUUCAUUUUCCUUGUAUUCAAAUACUAGGUACACUACUCUGAAUCAUUUUUGGCAUAGGCAUUGAAGCUGAACUGAAAUGGCCAGAAGAUUUAUGCUUCCAAAUUAUAGAAUAUUCGUAUUUUUUUAGUUAGAUAUUCAUUAUGUGUUUCAUGUUAUAUGAAUGGUAGAAGUAUGUAUAAUGCGAAAAUUGCAGAACUAUUGGAUGAGUGUCGUAAGAACACCAUAAGUAUUAGCUUCAGCUUUGUUAAUUUUUAUAUUUAAAUAAUGUAGUUUGAAAUCGCAUUCAAAUCAAAUAGGU